Molecule: ribosomal RNA, 492 nt
Filed under: uncultured bacterium
Lineage: Bacteria
Description: bacterial SSU rRNA
Rfam family: Bacterial small subunit ribosomal RNA
Source: RNAcentral
GAUGAACGCUAGCGGCAGGCCUAAUACAUGCAAGUCGAACGGUAACAUUGGUGCUUGCACCAGAUGACGAGUGGCGCACGGGUGCGUAACGCGUAUGCAACCUACCUUUUACUAGAGUAUAGCCCAGAGAAAUUUGGAUUAAUCCUCUAUAAUAUCUUUUAAUUUCAUGAUUUUAAGAUUAAAGUUUUAACGGUAAAAGAUGGGCAUGCGUCCUACUAGUUUGUAGGUGAGGUAACGGCUCACCUAGACUACGAUAGGUAGGGGCCCUGAGAGGGGGAUCCCCCACACUGGUACUGAGACACGGACCAGACUCCUACGGGAGGCAGCAGUAAGGAAUAUUGGACAAUGGACGAAAGUCUGAUCCAGCCAUGCCGCGUGCAGGAUGACAGCCCUACGGGUUGUAAACUGCUUUUAUACAGGAAGAAACACUCCGACGUGUCGGAGCUUGACGGUACUGUAAGAAUAAGGAUCGGCUAACUCCGUGCCAGCAGG